RNAcentral lists this ribosomal RNA (253 nucleotides) under uncultured bacterium. RNAcentral's name for it is "partial 16S ribosomal RNA". It matches the Rfam family "Bacterial small subunit ribosomal RNA", at positions 524 to 776 of the family's 1533-position model. The record is from RNAcentral.
UACGUAGGGUGCGAGCGUUAAUCGGAAUUACUGGGCGUAAAGCGUGCGCAGGCGGUUCGUCGUGUCUGGGGUGAAAGCCCCGGGCUCAACCUGGGAAUGGCAUGGGAAACUGGCGAACUGGAGUGUGGCAGAGGGGGGUGGAAUUCCGCGUGUAGCAGUGAAAUGCGUAGAGAUGCGGAGGAACACCGAUGGCGAAGGCAGCCCCCUGGGCUGACACUGACGCUCAGGCACGAAAGCGUGGGGAGCAAACAGG